RNAcentral lists this ribosomal RNA (253 nucleotides) under uncultured bacterium. RNAcentral describes it as "partial 16S ribosomal RNA". It matches the Rfam family "Bacterial small subunit ribosomal RNA", at positions 524 to 776 of the family's 1533-position model. The record is from RNAcentral.
UACAGAGGGUGCGAGCGUUAAUCGGAAUUACUGGGCGUAAAGCGCGCGUAGGCGGCUUUGCAAGUCGGGUGUGAAAUCCCCAGGCUUAACCUGGGAACUGCAUUCGAGACUGCGUUGCUAGAGUAUGGGAGAGGGAAGUGGAAUUUCCGGUGUAGCGGUGAAAUGCGUAGAUAUCGGAAGGAACAUCAGUGGCGAAAGCGACCUCCUGGACCAAUACUGACGCUCAUGUGCGAAAGCGUGGGUAGCAAUCAGG